GGAGGAUAUAGCUCAGAGUGUGUGCCUAGCAUGCAUGAGGUCCUGGGUUCAAUCCCCAGUACCUCCA
RNAcentral lists this transfer RNA (67 nucleotides) under Camelus bactrianus (Bactrian camel). It matches the Rfam family "tRNA". Rfam says of the family: Transfer RNA (tRNA) molecules are approximately 80 nucleotides in length. Their secondary structure includes four short double-helical elements and three loops (D, anti-codon, and T loops). Further hydrogen bonds mediate the characteristic L-shaped molecular structure. tRNAs have two regions of fundamental functional importance: the anti-codon, which is responsible for specific mRNA codon recognition, and the 3' end, to which the tRNAs corresponding amino acid is attached (by aminoacyl-tRNA synthetases). tRNAs cope with the degeneracy of the genetic code in two manners: having more than one tRNA (with a specific anti-codon) for a particular amino acid; and 'wobble' base-pairing, i.e. permitting non-standard base-pairing at the 3rd anti-codon position. RNAcentral also lists the same sequence under 3 other names. The record is from Rfam by way of RNAcentral. Lineage: Eukaryota; Metazoa; Chordata; Mammalia; Artiodactyla; Camelidae.